GCGGAUAUAGCUCAGUGGUAGAGCAUUCGACUUCAGAUCGAGAGGCCCCGGUUCAAAUCCGGGUGUUCCCU
RNAcentral lists this transfer RNA (71 nucleotides) under Diabrotica virgifera virgifera (western corn rootworm). It matches the Rfam family "tRNA". Rfam says of the family: Transfer RNA (tRNA) molecules are approximately 80 nucleotides in length. Lineage: Eukaryota; Metazoa; Arthropoda; Insecta; Coleoptera; Chrysomelidae. The record is from Rfam by way of RNAcentral.